UUCCCCCAACAAUUUCUUUGUCCUCAACGCUCCAUAUUUCCAGGAAUUAGACACUUCAACGAUCUUUGAUGGUUAUACGAGUAUCCAAAGUACGAACGAGAUGGAUGUUUGUUGUCCCAACCAAUCUUGUUAGUCCCAAUCCCAAUAGAGCAAAUCAAAGAAAGGGAUAAUUUAUAACAAAGUUUUUAUGUUGUUCAUUUCUAGGUGUAGUGCUUCUUCCCCUAUGUCACCUAUUGGUACUAGUACAGUAGGAUUGACCUGCAAUAGAGAACCUAUAGGUGUAACCUUUCGCUCAAUACUAGAAUCAACAAUUGAAGCAUCUGAGGCUGCAUCAAUCGUGG
This 341-nucleotide long non-coding RNA is filed under the name Amborella trichopoda. Its description in RNAcentral is "long non-coding RNA (ATRI_LNC001731)". The record is from RNAcentral. Lineage: Eukaryota; Viridiplantae; Streptophyta; Magnoliopsida; Amborellales; Amborellaceae.